CCUACGGGAGGCAGCAGUGAGGAAUAUUGGUCAAUGGACGAGAGUCUGAACCAGCCAAGUAGCGUGAAGGAUGACUGCCCUAUGGGUUGUAAACUUCUUUUAUAUGGGAAUAAAAUGUUCCACGUGUGGGAUUUUGUAUGUACCAUAUGAAUAAGGAUCGGCUAACUCCGUGCCAGCAGCCGCGGUAAUACGGAGGAUCCGAGCGUUAUCCGGAUUUAUUGGGUUUAAAGGGAGCGUAGGUGGAUUAUUAAGUCAGUUGUGAAAGUUUGCGGCUCAACCGUAAAAUUGCAGUUGAAACUGGCAGUCUUGAGUACAGUUGAGGUAGGCGGAAUGCGUGGUGUAGCGGUGAAAUGCUUAGAUAUCACGAAGAACUCCGAUUGCGAAGGCAGUUCACUGAACUGCAACUGACACUGAGGCUCGAAAGUGUGGGUAUCAAACAGGAUUAGAUACCCUUGUAGUC
This 460-nucleotide ribosomal RNA is filed under the name uncultured bacterium. RNAcentral describes it as "partial 16S ribosomal RNA". It matches the Rfam family "Bacterial small subunit ribosomal RNA", at positions 338 to 795 of the family's 1533-position model. The record is from RNAcentral.